AUGCAUUGGAGCCUCUUCAUCUUCUUCAAGCAUGAGAAUGGAAGGGAUGGGAUCAUCGAGCUCUUCUCCCAAGAGAGGUAUCUGAAUGCUAUGCAUCCAAACGCGCCGAAUCUCUUGAGAUACCUUGUUGCUGCAGUUGUCAUUAACAAAAGGAGAAGGGACAUGCUGAAGGAACUGAUCAAGGUCAUCCAGCAGGAUCAGAGCAGCUACAAGGAUCCGAUAAUCGAAUUCCCAGAGUGCUUGUAUGUACAGUAUGAUUUUGGUGGCGCGCAGCAGAAGCUUGUCCAGUGCGAGCAGUUUGCAUUGAAGUUGGGUCGAUUUGUCUUAAAGCUACAUCACAAGAUGCAAGGCUACAGAUAA
This 360-nucleotide ribosomal RNA is filed under the name Triticum aestivum (bread wheat). RNAcentral's name for it is "partial small subunit ribosomal RNA". Lineage: Eukaryota; Viridiplantae; Streptophyta; Magnoliopsida; Poales; Poaceae. The record is from RNAcentral.